This 874-nucleotide ribosomal RNA is filed under the name Tegolophus pittosporumi. RNAcentral's name for it is "partial large subunit ribosomal RNA". It matches the Rfam family "Eukaryotic large subunit ribosomal RNA", at positions 366 to 944 of the family's 3401-position model. Lineage: Eukaryota; Metazoa; Arthropoda; Arachnida; Trombidiformes; Eriophyidae. The record is from RNAcentral.
AAAUAGUACUUUGCAGAGAGAGUUAACAGGGCGUGAAACCGUUAAUUGGCAAACGAAUCGGAGCCACGAAGGUCGUUUCGCUGAUUAGUUGGGCCAAGUUCAGUUGGCGAGCAUCACUCGCCGGCGUACUCUUGGUUCGACCUAUCCUUGUAAGCGUACACUGCAACCAGUUAGACGGUCAACUGUGGGCGCAGCGGCUCGGGUUAGUAGUAGCGCGGCGGGUUCUCGGAUCCGUUCGUGUUGCUGGGCCCGCGGUUAGUGAACUACAGUUGAGGACUGACUGGCACACUGAAAAUAGCCUCUGUGCUUGAUACAAAAUGCGGUCUACUGCACUUGAGCCUACAUCCUCGACCAUGUGGUCUAAGCUCAGCGUCUUUGAAUUUGGACUUGCUUGCUACCAAUGGGGCAACUCUUGGUGCUUGUACAGCUUCCAUCUAAUCGGGCGUUGACUUGGCCGUGUGUCGUUCGCGGGUGCUAUGCUCGGGUUUGAGUGCAAGUUGGCUCGCCAUUGAUUGGCAGUGAGUAGGUCGGCUUUCCGAACGACCCGUCUUGAAACACGGACCAAGGAGUCUAAUUAGGCAUCGAGUCGAUCGGUCUUGAAUAGGCCAGAUUAGUUGGUUUCCAACAAGUGAAGGCGAAGAGAAAUCGUGUGAUCGGGGGCAAUAGCAGGCCCUGCGCGCAACAUGUGCCUGUUCGUGUGGCAAUGUAGCAAUAAUUGCCGAGCGGAGCAAAGAGAUGCCUGAUUGGUACCCGAAAGAUGGUGAGCUUGGGCAAAUUGAAGCCAGAGGAAACUCUGGUGGAGGAUUGUAGCGAUUCUGACGUGCAAAUCGAUCGUCAGACCUGAGUAUAGGGGCGAAAGACUAAUCGAACCAUC